GAUGAACGCUAGCUACAGGCUUAACACAUGCAAGUCGAGGGGAAACGACAUCGAAAGCUUGCUUUUGAUGGGCGUCGACCGGCGCACGGGUGAGUAACGUGUAUCCAACCUGCCCACCACUUGGGGAUAACCUUGCGAAAGUAAGACUAAUACCCAAUGAUAUCUCUAGAAGACAUCUGAAAGAGAUUAAAGAUUUAUCGGUGAUGGAUGGGGAUGCGUCUGAUUAGCUUGUUGGCGGGGUAACGGCCCACCAAGGCGACGAUCAGUAGGGGUUCUGAGAGGAAGGUCCCCCCACAUUGGAACUGAGACACGGUCCAAACUCCUACGGGAGGCAGCAGUGAGGAAUAUUGGUCAAUGGGCGAGAGCCUGAACCAGCCAAGUAGCGUGCAGGAUGACGGCCCUAUGGGUUGUAAACUGCUUUAUAAGGGAAUAAAGUGAGUCUCGUGAGACUUUUUGCAUGUACCUUAUGAAUAAGGACCGGCUAAUCCGUGCCAGCAGCCGACGG
This 505-nucleotide ribosomal RNA is filed under the name uncultured bacterium. RNAcentral's name for it is "bacterial SSU rRNA". It matches the Rfam family "Bacterial small subunit ribosomal RNA", at positions 28 to 520 of the family's 1533-position model. The record is from RNAcentral.